CGGAGGGUGCAAGCGUUAUCCGGAUUCACUGGGUUUAAAGGGUGCGUAGGCGGGCAGGUAAGUCCGUGGUGAAAUCUCUGAGCUUAACUCAGAAACUGCCAUGGAUACUAUUUGUCUUGAAUAUUGUGGAGGUAAGCGGAAUAUGUCAUGUAGCGGUGAAAUGCUUAGAUAUGACAUAGAACACCAAUUGCGAAGGCAGCUUACUACACAGUUAUUGACGCUGAGGCACGGAAGCGUGGGGAUCAAACAGGAUUAGAUACCCUGGUAGUCCACGCCCUAAACGAUGAUUACUCGACAUCAGCGAUACACUGUUGGUGUCUGAGCGAAAGCAUUAAGUAAUCCACCUGGGAAGUACGAUCGCAAGAUUG
RNAcentral lists this ribosomal RNA (368 nucleotides) under uncultured organism. RNAcentral's name for it is "bacterial SSU rRNA". It matches the Rfam family "Bacterial small subunit ribosomal RNA", at positions 526 to 896 of the family's 1533-position model. The record is from RNAcentral.